Molecule: transfer RNA, 75 nt
Filed under: Pelistega sp.
Lineage: Bacteria; Pseudomonadati; Pseudomonadota; Betaproteobacteria; Burkholderiales; Alcaligenaceae
Description: tRNA-Arg
Rfam family: tRNA
About the family: Transfer RNA (tRNA) molecules are approximately 80 nucleotides in length.
Source: RNAcentral
GUCCCUGUAGUUCAAUGGAUAGAACGAAUUCCUCCUAAGAAUUAAAUGCUGGUUCGAUUCCGGCCAGGGACGCCA